This 465-nucleotide ribosomal RNA is filed under the name Vreelandella stevensii. Its description in RNAcentral is "partial 16S ribosomal RNA". It matches the Rfam family "Bacterial small subunit ribosomal RNA", at positions 338 to 795 of the family's 1533-position model. The record is from RNAcentral. Lineage: Bacteria; Pseudomonadati; Pseudomonadota; Gammaproteobacteria; Oceanospirillales; Halomonadaceae.
CCUACGGGUGGCUGCAGUGGGGAAUAUUGGACAAUGGGCGAAAGCCUGAUCCAGCCAUGCCGCGUGUGUGAAGAAGGCCUUCGGGUUGUAAAGCACUUUCAGUGGGGAAGAAAGCCUUGGGGCUAAUACCCUCGAGGAAGGACAUCACCCACAGAAGAAGCACCGGCUAACUCCGUGCCAGCAGCCGCGGUAAUACGGAGGGUGCGAGCGUUAAUCGGAAUUACUGGGCGUAAAGCGCGCGUAGGCGGUCUGAUAAGCCGGUUGUGAAAGCCCCGGGCUCAACCUGGGAACGGCAUCCGGAACUGUCAGGCUAGAGUGCAGGAGAGGAAGGUAGAAUUCCCGGUGUAGCGGUGAAAUGCGUAGAGAUCGGGAGGAAUACCAGUGGCGAAGGCGGCCUUCUGGACUGACACUGACGCUGAGGUGCGAAAGCGUGGGUAGCAAACAGGAUAAGAUACCCCGGUAGUC